This 449-nucleotide ribosomal RNA is filed under the name uncultured bacterium. Its description in RNAcentral is "partial 16S ribosomal RNA". It matches the Rfam family "Bacterial small subunit ribosomal RNA", at positions 29 to 523 of the family's 1533-position model. The record is from RNAcentral.
AACGAACGCUGGCGGCAUGCCUAACACAUGCAAGUCGAACGAGACCUUCGGGUCUAGUGGCGCACGGGUGCGUAACGCGUGGGAAUCUGCCCUUGGGUUCGGAACAACAGUUAGAAAUGACUGCUAAUACCGGAUGAUGACGUAAGUCCAAAGAUUUAUCGCCCAAGGAUGAGCCCGCGUAAGAUUAGGUAGUUGGUGGGGUAAAGGCCUACCAAGCCGACGAUCUUUAGCUGGUCUGAGAGGAUGAUCAGCCACACUGGGACUGAGACACGGCCCAGACUCCUACGGGAGGCAGCAGUGGGGAAUAUUGGACAAUGGGCGAAAGCCUGAUCCAGCAAUGCCGCGUGAGUGAUGAAGGCCUUAGGGUUGUAAAGCUCUUUUACCAGGGAUGAUAAUGACAGUACCUGGAGAAUAAGCUCCGGCUAACUCCGUGCCAGCAGCCGCCGUAA